Molecule: long non-coding RNA, 1324 nt
Filed under: Homo sapiens (human)
Lineage: Eukaryota; Metazoa; Chordata; Mammalia; Primates; Hominidae
Description: HSALNT0124725
Source: RNAcentral
GCUUAAUCCACCAUGAGGCCCUGAAUGCAGUAUAAAGAAAAACUGUCUUUUGCAAAAGUGCCCUGCGGGCUCUGAAUUUACUUGAACCUAAUGUGGGAGAGUGAUGGGCAUCCUGCAUUGGUAGAGGAUCAUCCUGUACAUGAUGCCUGGGGUCUCUUCGCAGUUGCAAUCUCCCUGUACUAUCUAGUGAAUAAGAAGGAGCUGCAGGACAUAAGCCCAGAGGAAACGGCCACUGAUCACCCAUUUAUGAGCUUUCAAGGCAACUGAAUAGCUAAAGGCUGCUGAAUGAGCUCUGGAAGACUGUGGUAGAAAAGGAAAAACAACCAAGGAAGCCUGAGAAUCUGAAAAGGUGGCCAGUUGGAAGACAAAUAUGGGCUAUGACUGUCACCUGUUGUAUAGGAUCAUAGAACCUUAGAGCUGGAGGAGCUUCAGAAGUUGCGUUCAUCUACUUCUCCUCCCUCUACUGCUACCCAGGGGAGGGUGAAACUGCCUUUGCCAAAUUGUAACCGAGGAAACUAUGACAGUGGAAGAAAUCAGACCUAACCGACUCCAUCUUGCUUCUAAUCUUUAAGUCGUCCUUGUUCAUUCCUGGGCAUAGGCCAAGCUAACUUUGAGAAGGAAUUCAGUUCAUGGUUUGACUUAAACAAAAUUGAUAACAGCUCUUUCCCUGAAAGACCCGCUUCUUGCCUGGGGACCAAUCUGCCUUUGUAGGACUAACAAAUUAGCCUCAAGAUUAGAAAUUACAGUUUAGGGGUCAUGCAGCCUCUGGCUCCUAGAGUCUGAACCUCCCCAAAUUGCUCCUGGGGAUAACAUCACUAUUGUAAAACCUAAGAUCAGUGCUUGAGAUAUUUUGCAGACCUUGCACUCAGUGUAUCAGCUGACACCACCCAGACCAGUAAUCUGCUUUAACCAGGUCUGCCAUCCCACCCAGGAACAGAAGACAGCAAGAAAACCACACUUCGACCCCCUAUGAUUCCAUCUCCAACCCAACCACAUCAGCACUCCCCAUUUCCCAAGCCCCUACCCACCAAAUUAUCUUUAAAAACUCUGAUCCCUGAAUGCUCGGGGAGACUGAUUUGAGUAAUAAUAAAACUCUGUCUCCCCGCACAGCCGGCUCUACGUAAAUUACUCUUUCUCCAUCGCAAUUCCCGUCUUGAUAAAUUGGCUCUGCUAGGCAGCGGGCAAUGUGAAGCCAUUGGGCAGUUACAAAGUCACCAGUGUCUCUGAACCUACAGGGAUGUUUAAAUGGCCUUCUGACUAUAUCUCAUGCUUCCACUCUUGCUUUCUCCCCCACCCCCAACCCUUUGGUUUCAAUUUCCACAAG